UGGGAACCUUCCCUAUGGUUCGGAAUAGCCCAGGGAAACUUGGGGUAAUACCGAAUAAGCCCUUCGGGGAAAGAUUUAUCGCCAUUGGAUGGGCCCGCGUCGGAUUAGCUAGUUGGUGGGUAACGGCCCACCAAGGCGACGAUCCGUAGCUGGUCUGAGAGGAUGAUCAGCCACACUGGGACUGAGACACGGCCCAGACUCCUACGGGAGGCAG
RNAcentral lists this ribosomal RNA (214 nucleotides) under uncultured bacterium. RNAcentral's name for it is "partial 16S ribosomal RNA". It matches the Rfam family "Bacterial small subunit ribosomal RNA", at positions 118 to 351 of the family's 1533-position model. The record is from RNAcentral.